CGGUAAUGCACCAAAAAGUUGUUUUCCAACCGCCAAUAAACCUUAAUAGAAGAAGAAGACGUCAAGACGAUCGAGGCACGGACUGUACGCUGUUAUCCUCAACUACUUCACCGAGAUCGGUGUUGGACCGGCGAACACUUUAGGCCUGUUAUCAGAGGACUUGCUAACAUGAAGAAAACGGUCCAGAGAAGCACUGAGGGAACGAGAGACAGUGAAGACAGACCUCAUAUCAAGAAGAGAUCGAACCAUCGCAUUCUUCAUCAGCUGUAAACGAAAUGGACCCAAUCAUUGAACCAGUGAUUUUGGCAAACUCAAAAUUCUCCAUUGACCUGUUAAAAGAGCUCUGUCGGGGCAACACAGACAAUGUGUUAUUCUCACCCCUGAGCAUCUCCUCUGCAUUGGGCCUGGUCCUCCUGGGUGCCAAGAACAACACUGCUGAUCAGAUGCUUAAGGUGCGCUUAAACCUCCAAAUAGCUCUAU
Long non-coding RNA from Onychostoma macrolepis, 480 nucleotides. RefSeq lists it as uncharacterized. The record is from RefSeq and is a predicted model, not a curated record. Lineage: Eukaryota; Metazoa; Chordata; Actinopteri; Cypriniformes; Cyprinidae. The transcript is spliced from 4 exons.